This 75-nucleotide transfer RNA is filed under the name Candidatus Dadabacteria bacterium. Its description in RNAcentral is "tRNA-Met". It matches the Rfam family "tRNA". Rfam says of the family: Transfer RNA (tRNA) molecules are approximately 80 nucleotides in length. Lineage: Bacteria; Pseudomonadati; Thermodesulfobacteriota; Candidatus Dadabacteria. RNAcentral also lists the same sequence under 2 other names. The record is from RNAcentral.
GGCGGCGUAGCUCAGGGGUAGAGCGGGGCUCUCAUAAGGCCUGUGUCGGUGGUUCAAAUCCACCCGUCGCCACCA